Molecule: ribosomal RNA, 253 nt
Filed under: uncultured bacterium
Lineage: Bacteria
Description: partial 16S ribosomal RNA
Rfam family: Bacterial small subunit ribosomal RNA
Source: RNAcentral
GACAGAGGUCCCGAGCGUUAGGCGGAAUCACUGGGCUUAAAGCGUGUGUAGGCGGAUUGGUAAGUACCUUGUGAAAUCCCACGGCUUAACCGUGGAACUGCUUGGUAUACUGCUUAUCUUGGGCCACUUAGGGGCUACCGGAACAAACGGUGGAGCGGCGAAAUGCGUAGAUAUCGUUUGGAACGCCAAUGGUGAAAACAGGUAGCUGGGAGUGUGCCGACGCUGAGACACGAAAGCCAGGGGAGCGAACGGG